AGUAAUGAGUUGGAUUUGCCAAUAGGACUUAAUGUAUUUAUUGGUCAUUCAAGUGGAGCAAAGGAGGUAUCCUCUUAAAACUCAAAAAAAAUUAGGUGUGUAUCCUGUCAGGAAACAUGC
Small nucleolar RNA from Suncus etruscus (white-toothed pygmy shrew), 120 nucleotides. RefSeq annotates it as small nucleolar RNA SNORA27. The record is from RefSeq and is a predicted model, not a curated record. NCBI's taxonomy places the organism in Eukaryota, Metazoa, Chordata, Mammalia, Eulipotyphla, Soricidae. The transcript has a single exon.